ACAGGGAUGCCCUAGUAACGGCGAGUGAAGCGGCAACAGCUCAAAUUUGAAAUCUGGCCCUCGGGUCCGAGUUGUAAUUUGUAGAGGAUGAUUUUGGUUAGGUACCUUCCGAGUUCCUUGGAACAGGACGCCUUAGAGGGUGAGAGCCCCGUACGGUUGGAUGCCGAGCCUCUGUAAAUCUCCUUCGACGAGUCGAGUAGUUUGGGAAUGCUGCUCUAAAUGGGAGGUAAAUUUCUUCUAAAGCUAAAUACCGGCCAGAGACCGAUAGCGCACAAGUAGAGUGAUCGAAAGAUGAAAAGCACUUUGAAAAGAGGGUUAAAUAGUACGUGAAAUUGUUGAAAGGGAAGGGCUUGUGACCAGACCUUUGCCUUGCGGAUCAUCCGGUGUUCUCACCGGUGCACUCCGCUUGGUUGAGGCCAGCAUCAGUUUCGGCGGCGGGAUAAAGACUUCAGGAACGUGACUCCCCCGGGAGUGUUAUAGCCUGCUGUGUAAUACCGCCGCUGGGACUGAGGACCGCGCUUCGGCUAGGAUGCUGGCAUAAUGGUCAUCAGCCACCCGUCUUGAAACACGGACCAAGGAGUCGAACAUUUAUGCGAGUUUUUGGGUGUUAAACCCUCAAGCGUAAUGAAAGUGAACGGAGGUGGGAGCCCUUACGGGUGCAUCAUCGACCGAUCCUGAUGUCUUCGGAUGGAUUUGAGUAAGAGCAUAACUGUUCGGACCCGAAAGAUGGUGAACUAUGCGUGGAUAGGGUGAAGCCAGAGGAAACUCUGGUGGAGGCUCGCAGCGGUUCUGACGUGCAAAUCGAUCGUCAAAUCUGCGCAUGGGGCGAAAGACUAUCGACC
Molecule: ribosomal RNA, 842 nt
Filed under: Microdochium seminicola
Lineage: Eukaryota; Fungi; Ascomycota; Sordariomycetes; Xylariales; Microdochiaceae
Description: eukaryotic LSU rRNA
Rfam family: Eukaryotic large subunit ribosomal RNA
Source: RNAcentral